AGUGAACGCUGGCGAUAGGCCUAACACAUGCAAGUCGAACGGCAGCACAGUAAGAGCUUGCUCUUACGGGUGGCGAGUGGCGGACGGGUGAGGAAUACAUCGGAAUCUACUUUUUCGUGGGGGAUAACGUAGAGAAACUUACGCUAAUACCGCAUACGACCUACGGGUGAAAGCAGGGGAUCUUCGGACCUUGCGCGAUUGAAUGAGCCGAUGUCGGAUUAGCUAGUUGGCGGGGUAAAGGCCCACCAAGGCGACGAUCCGUAGCUGGUCUGAGAGGAUGAUCAGCCACACUGGAACUGAGACACGGUCCAGACUCCUACGGGAGGCAGCAGUGGGGAAUAUUGGACAAUGGGCGCAAGCCUGAUCCAGCCAUACCGCGUGGGUGAAGAAGGCCUUCGGGUUGUAAAGCCCUUUUGUUGGGAAAGAAAAGCAGCAGGUUAAUACCCCGCUGUUCUGACGGUACCCAAAGAAUAAGCACCGGCUAACUUCGUG
This 492-nucleotide ribosomal RNA is filed under the name uncultured bacterium. RNAcentral describes it as "partial 16S ribosomal RNA". It matches the Rfam family "Bacterial small subunit ribosomal RNA", at positions 29 to 507 of the family's 1533-position model. The record is from RNAcentral.